AAAAAACUACUGUUGAGCCU
Molecule: small nuclear RNA, 20 nt
Filed under: Arabidopsis thaliana (thale cress)
Lineage: Eukaryota; Viridiplantae; Streptophyta; Magnoliopsida; Brassicales; Brassicaceae
Description: snRNA_10263
Source: RNAcentral